AGCGCUUUUCAAAAGCGCUCUGGUAGGGGUGUUUAAUGAGAGCGCUUUUUGUCAAAAGCGCUGGUAUAGACCAGGCUAUGAGAGCGCUUUUCAGAAGCGCUUUAGUAGCCUUUAUUACUAAAAAUUAAAAACCAAAACACGCGUUACUGUUUCUCAUUUCUCUCUUUCGUUUUCUGCAGAACCCUUCCGUCCACCACUGUUCUUCAUCCACAAACCCUCACUGCACGCGAAACCCUUCCGUCCACCACCAUCGGCAACCACCGUCGGCGUCCCUCCGUCGGCUUCUCCUCCGUCACUCGUUUUAUCCACCGCCGGUCUGACUGGAUUGAUAACUUUGGAUCUCUUUGGAGCUCGUAUCAUUGACUCUGGUACUACAUAUUUAGGAGGGUAACUUGUGUAUAGUGAAAGUUUGAUCGUUUCCCAGCCUAGUUCGACGUUUGGCGUUUUCUUGAGUUCGGUAACAUCCGAGGUUCAAUGGCUUCAGAUAGAGAUGCUCCACCUGAAAACCCACCUGAAAACUUACAAGAAAACUCACAAGAAAGAGUUGCUUCGGAUACAAAUGCUCCACCUGAUACUGAAGCAAAAGAGGUUGCACGAGGC
Long non-coding RNA from Vicia villosa (hairy vetch), 600 nucleotides. RefSeq lists it as uncharacterized. NCBI's taxonomy places the organism in Eukaryota, Viridiplantae, Streptophyta, Magnoliopsida, Fabales, Fabaceae. The transcript has 4 exons. The record is from RefSeq and is a predicted model, not a curated record.